CGGCAUGCCUUACNCAUGCAAGUCGAACGGUAACAGGGCCGCAAGGUGCUGACGAGUGGCGAACGGGUGAGUAAUACAUCGGAACGUGCCCGAGAGUGGGGGAUAACGAAGCGAAAGCUUUGCUAAUACCGCAUACGAUCUACGGAUGAAAGCAGGGGACCCGCAAGGCCUUGCGCUGACGGAGCGGCCGAUGGCAGAUUAGGUAGUUGGUGGGAUAAAAGCUUACCAAGCCGACGAUCUGUAGCUGGUCUGAGAGGACGACCAGCCACACUGGGACUGAGACACGGCCCAGACUCCUACGGGAGGCAGCAGUGGGGAAUUUUGGACAAUGGGCGCAAGCCUGAUCCAGCCAUGCCGCGUGCAGGAUGAAGGCCUUCGGGUUGUAAACUGCUUUUGUACGGAACGAAAAGACUCUGGAUAAUACCUGGGGUUCAUGACGGUACCGUAAGAAUAAGCACCGGCUAACUACGUG
Molecule: ribosomal RNA, 472 nt
Filed under: uncultured bacterium
Lineage: Bacteria
Description: bacterial SSU rRNA
Rfam family: Bacterial small subunit ribosomal RNA
Source: RNAcentral